ACGUAGGGUGCAAGCGUUAAUCGGAAUUACUGGGCGUAAAGCGUGCGCAGGCGGUUUUGUAAGUCUGUCGUGAAAGCCCCGGGCUCAACCUGGGAAUUGCGAUGGAGACUGCAAGGCUUGAAUCUGGCAGAGGGGGGGUAGAAUUCCACGUGUAGCAGUGAAAUGCGUAGAGAUGUGGAGGAACACCGAUGGCGAAGGCAGCCCCCUGGGUCAAGAUUGACGCUCAUGCACGAAAGCGUGGGGAGCAAACAGG
RNAcentral lists this ribosomal RNA (253 nucleotides) under uncultured bacterium. RNAcentral's name for it is "partial 16S ribosomal RNA". It matches the Rfam family "Bacterial small subunit ribosomal RNA", at positions 525 to 776 of the family's 1533-position model. The record is from RNAcentral.